This 301-nucleotide ribosomal RNA is filed under the name uncultured bacterium. Its description in RNAcentral is "partial 16S ribosomal RNA". It matches the Rfam family "Bacterial small subunit ribosomal RNA", at positions 509 to 807 of the family's 1533-position model. The record is from RNAcentral.
CAGUCGCCACGGGAAUACGAAGGGGGCUAGCGUUGUUCGGAUUUACUGGGCGUAAAGGGCGCGUAGGCGGACUGAUAAGUCAGGGGUGAAAUCCCAAGGCUCAACCUUGGAACUGCCUUUGAUACUGUUUGUCUUGAGUUCGAGAGAGGUAAGUGGAACUGCGAGUGUAGAGGUGAAAUUCGUAGAUAUUCGCAAGAACACCAGUGGCGAAGGCGGCUUACUGGCUCGAAACUGACGCUGAGGCGCGAAAGCGUGGGGAGCAAACAGGAUUAGAUACCCCUGUAGUCCCUGUCUCUUAUAC